CGGGAUGUGGCUCAGCUUGGUAGAGCGCUUUUUUUUUUUUCGGGACGCAGAGGUCGCUGGUUCGAAUCCAGUCAUCCCGACCA
RNAcentral lists this transfer RNA (83 nucleotides) under Armatimonadota bacterium. RNAcentral's name for it is "Armatimonadetes bacterium (activated sludge metagenome) tRNA-OTHER". It matches the Rfam family "tRNA". From Rfam's summary of the family: Transfer RNA (tRNA) molecules are approximately 80 nucleotides in length. Their secondary structure includes four short double-helical elements and three loops (D, anti-codon, and T loops). Further hydrogen bonds mediate the characteristic L-shaped molecular structure. tRNAs have two regions of fundamental functional importance: the anti-codon, which is responsible for specific mRNA codon recognition, and the 3' end, to which the tRNAs corresponding amino acid is attached (by aminoacyl-tRNA synthetases). tRNAs cope with the degeneracy of the genetic code in two manners: having more than one tRNA (with a specific anti-codon) for a particular amino acid; and 'wobble' base-pairing, i.e. permitting non-standard base-pairing at the 3rd anti-codon position. The record is from RNAcentral. Lineage: Bacteria; Bacillati; Armatimonadota.